RNAcentral lists this ribosomal RNA (341 nucleotides) under uncultured Prevotella sp. Its description in RNAcentral is "bacterial SSU rRNA". It matches the Rfam family "Bacterial small subunit ribosomal RNA", at positions 8 to 339 of the family's 1533-position model. The record is from RNAcentral. Lineage: Bacteria; Pseudomonadati; Bacteroidota; Bacteroidia; Bacteroidales; Prevotellaceae.
AGAGUUUUGAUCAUGGCUCAGGAUGAACGCUAGCUACAGGCUUAACACAUGCAAGUCGAGGGGCAGCAUGAAGUUUGCUUGCAAACUUUGAUGGCGACCGGCGCACGGGUGAGUAACGCGUAUCCAACCUUCCCCUUACUAGGGAAUAGCCCGGCGAAAGUCGGAUUAAUGCUCUAUGUUGUAUUUCGAUGACAUCUGAAGAAUACCAAAGGUUCACCGCUAUGGGAUGGGGAUGCGUCUGAUUAGGUUGUUGGCGGGGUAACGGCCCACCAAGCCCGCGAUCAGUAGGGGUUCUGAGAGGAAGGUCCCCCACAUUGGAACUGAGACACGGUCCAAACUCC